RNAcentral lists this ribosomal RNA (261 nucleotides) under uncultured Actinomycetales bacterium. Its description in RNAcentral is "partial 16S ribosomal RNA". It matches the Rfam family "Bacterial small subunit ribosomal RNA", at positions 505 to 766 of the family's 1533-position model. The record is from RNAcentral. Lineage: Bacteria; Bacillati; Actinomycetota; Actinomycetes; Actinomycetales.
GUGCCAGCCGCCGCGGUAAUACGUAGGGCGCAAGCGUUGUCCGGAAUUAUUGGGCGUAAAGAGCUCGUAGGCGGUUUGUCGCGUCUGCUGUGAAAACGCAAGGCUUAACCUUGCGCCUGCAGUGGGUACGGGCAGACUAGAGUGCGGUAGGGGAGACUGGAAUUCCUGAUGUAGCGGUGGAAUGCGCAGAUAUCAGGAGGACACCGAUGGCGAAGGCAGGUCUCUGGGCCGUUACUGACGCUGAGGAGCGAAAGCAUGGGA